This 218-nucleotide ribosomal RNA is filed under the name Aeromonas hydrophila. RNAcentral's name for it is "partial 16S ribosomal RNA". It matches the Rfam family "Bacterial small subunit ribosomal RNA", at positions 1 to 218 of the family's 1533-position model. The record is from RNAcentral. Lineage: Bacteria; Pseudomonadati; Pseudomonadota; Gammaproteobacteria; Aeromonadales; Aeromonadaceae.
AAAUUGAAGAGUUUGAUCAUGGCUCAGAUUGAACGCUGGCGGCAGGCCUAACACAUGCAAGUCGAGCGGCAGCGGGAAAGUAGCUUGCUACUUUUGCCGGCAAGCGGCGGACGGGUGAGUAAUGCCUGGGAAAUUGCCCAGUCGAGGGGGAUAACAGUUGGAAACGACUGCUAAUACCGCAUACGCCCUACGGGGGAAAGCAGGGGACCUUCGGGCCU